Molecule: ribosomal RNA, 512 nt
Filed under: Axis porcinus porcinus
Lineage: Eukaryota; Metazoa; Chordata; Mammalia; Artiodactyla; Cervidae
Description: partial 16S ribosomal RNA
Rfam family: Bacterial large subunit ribosomal RNA
Source: RNAcentral
ACCGUUAAACGGCCGCGGUAUCCUGACCGUGCAAAGGUAGCAUAAUCACUUGUUCUCUAAAUAGGGACUUGUAUGAAUGGCCACACGAGGGUUUUACUGUCUCUUACUUCCAAUCAGUGAAAUUGACCUUCCCGUGAAGAGGCGGGAAUAUACUAAUAAGACGAGAAGACCCUAUGGAGCUUUAACUACUUAGCCCAAAGAAAUAAACCUCAUCGCUAAGGAAACAACAACACUCUUUAUGGGCUAACAGCUUUGGUUGGGGUGACCUCGGAGAACAAGAAAACCUCCGAGCGAUUUUAAAGACUAGACCUACAAGUCGAAUCACACAAUCGUUUAUUGAUCCAAAAAAUUGAUCAACGGAACAAGUUACCCUAGGGAUAACAGCGCAAUCCUAUUCAAGAGUCCAUAUCGACAAUAGGGUUUACGACCUCGAUGUUGGAUCAGGACAUCCCGAUGGUGCAACCGCUAUCAAAGGUUCGUUUGUUCAACGAUUAAAGUCCUACGUGAUCUGA